Molecule: long non-coding RNA, 656 nt
Organism: Oryzias melastigma (Indian medaka)
Lineage: Eukaryota; Metazoa; Chordata; Actinopteri; Beloniformes; Adrianichthyidae
Exons: 2
Source: RefSeq, a predicted model, not a curated record
CUCUUCUAAGAAGCGUUUCAUCUCCUCUUCCCCAUACGCAACAUUCAUGGCAGAGCCACUGGUGAGAAGCAUGCAUAGGAAGGAGAGAAAGCGAGUGACGGAAACAUAGGGAAAGAGAAGCCAUCGAGCAAGAGAAAGGAACUCAGUGCCCUCCAUGGGGCCUGGGACACUUCCAGGUCAUCGAGGAUGCUUGAAAAGACAGAGCGUUCUUCAGCCCGGUCAAUCUGCAAAGGGCUUGUCCCAAGAAUUUGUACCCCAUUCAUGUGCAGCGGGAUGGCCAAGUUGUUGGGAAUCUGACCUCCCACUGACACGAUGCUACCUGAGCAAUCCUGUAGAAGGAGAUUAACAUUUAAAGGCUGCAGAUGCAACACCGAUUAAAAGAGAAUAGUCAUCAAGUUCAUCACCACCUGUACACAAAUGUUUAUUUUCUUCUAUUAAUGUCUUAGAAGAAGUUAGUUAGAAGUUAAAAAGAUUGAGUACUGGAUGUUGUAACGUCACUUUGAAUAAAUAUGUUUAGAAAAUUGAUUUUCUCAAAUGUACUUGUUGAAGUUGUGUUUGUGUUAAUUUCAUCAACUCACUGCUGAGUAAGAUGUCAUUUUUGUGAGACUAAGUUAGCCUCUUGACACCUAAAUUUAGUUCUAGCAAUGGAAAAAAAA